GGACCCGCACAAGCGGUGGAGCAUGUGGUUUAAUUCGAUGCAACGCGAAAAACCUUACCUACUCUUGACAUACUUGGAAGCUCUUGUAAUGAGAGUGUGCCUUUUGGAACCAAGAUACAGGUGCUGCAUGGCUGUCGUCAGCUCGUGUCGUGAGAUGUUGGUUAAGUCCCGCAACGAGCGCAACCCUUGUCAUUAGUUGCUACAUUUAGUUGGGCACUCUAAUGAGACUGCCGGUGAUAAACCGGAGGAAGGUGAGGACGACGUCAAGUCAUCAUGGCCCUUACGAGUAGGGCUACACACGUGCUACAAUGGGGAAUACAGACGGACGCUAAGCCGCGAGGUGGUGCU
RNAcentral lists this ribosomal RNA (348 nucleotides) under uncultured bacterium. RNAcentral's name for it is "bacterial SSU rRNA". It matches the Rfam family "Bacterial small subunit ribosomal RNA", at positions 917 to 1269 of the family's 1533-position model. The record is from RNAcentral.